AAAUUGGAUCAAAAUGGAGCUAAUAGGGGAAAAACUAAAGUUGCGGAUUAGUCCCUAAAGAAUCCACUCAUUUUGUGUUUUGAAUAGGUUAUAUUGAGAUCCAACAUCUAUUGUGGAUCAUCGAGUAAUAUAUGUCUCUACGGAGACUUUGGUGUGGUAGAGGGAUGUAUUUGAAAAUAUUUAUACAUUUGAUACCUAUGAGCUUUACAUUUCAGUGCCUUGAUAUGGUGUAGUUUAAGCUCUUACGAACUAUUUGGUGUGAUGUAGUUCACUCGUGUAUCCAAGUCCAUUUUACUAGGGUUCCAUUGAGGUGAACCAUUAUAAUUGAAAUUGGAAACUUGAAAAUAUAAUGAAAUGGAUUCGAUAAA
Long non-coding RNA from Gossypium arboreum, 368 nucleotides. RefSeq lists it as uncharacterized. The transcript is spliced from 2 exons. The record is from RefSeq and is a predicted model, not a curated record. Lineage: Eukaryota; Viridiplantae; Streptophyta; Magnoliopsida; Malvales; Malvaceae.